UAUUUAAAGAAGUCUAUCAUGAGGAAUGUGCAAAGCAAAUUAAUGGCAAGUAUCACACAAACUUCACAAGUCGACAAGUUUAUCACAAGUUGAAGGCUCAGUGGAAGGUGAUUAUGGAGGCAAAGAAUUUGAGCGGGGCCAACUUUGAUGAUGUUGAGAAAAAAAAUCCUAUAUGAUGAGACUGAAGUUGUUCGAAUGACUAAUGCCAAAGAUAAAAGGGCUAAAUUCAUUAACGUCCCCAUACGUUGGUAUGAUGAAAUGGAGUUUAUUUUUCAAGACAAGCAUGCAACAGGGGAAUUUAAUGUUCUGCAAACACCAUAUGACCAUCCAAUGACUGAAGAUGAUGAUUUUAUUGGUGAUAAAAAUGGCAGUCCUGGUGAUGUUGACCCUUCAUCAAAUUAUGACUCAGAUUGUCUUCCAGAUCAAGAGAAUAAUACUGGAAGUAGCUCAUCUUCUAGGCGUGCAAAAGGUAGAAAAUCUGAUAAAGGUAAAAGAGUUAGAACUGAUGAUAAUGUGGUUUAUGAGAUAACAGGGGCUAUGGAUAAUAUGUCUGAAACCAUGUGUUUCACACAUAUGACACAUCCAAAUGAAUCCCUAUUCAAGAUAAUUGAUGAGAUGACGGAAUACCCUGUCAUGGUUCGACUUGAGCUGCAAACUUAUCUCGCGACCCAUGAGAAUAUAGCUGCCAUGUUGAAGGGUAGGCCAUUAGAUUCUAUUAAGGAAUAUGUGGCCCAAUGGAUAAUACAAAACUAUCCAGCUGCUAUGUAAUUUCUUUGCUGAGAUGUUUGAAUAAUUACUAUGCAUUCAAGCUAAA
Non-coding RNA from Oryza sativa Japonica Group (Japanese rice), 814 nucleotides. The record is from RefSeq and is a predicted model, not a curated record. NCBI's taxonomy places the organism in Eukaryota, Viridiplantae, Streptophyta, Magnoliopsida, Poales, Poaceae.